UGUAAUAUGCAAACAUUAUGAUUUGAGUUUCCUGAUAAUCUAGGAAAAAAGGAAAACAAGACGAUUCACUUAUGUGGUUGGAAUUAUAAAAUGCUAACCAAUACCUAUUUCUUCCUCAUUGUAGCAUUUCAUGUUUUGCCACGGAGUGGCUUCACCCAUGUGAUCAAUUUCCCCCUGGUCAAUGGGAUGGGAAUGGACUUGAUAGGAAACCACAGGAUAUACUUUUAGCAUAAUGAAUAUGCACCGAGCCCAAGAUGUGAUCGAAGAAGCUGGAAGUGACACUUGGAACCCAGGAAGCCAGUGUCCUUUGACAGGUCGCCUCCACUGGUCCUGGGCGGCCAUUGCUGGAGCUCUCACGCAGCACAGAGUAUGCUCUGACAGUUUAGCGAUUGGUACUUUAAAGUGGAGCUGUGUAGUGAGAACAGGAACCCUAAAGCGUGCAGCAGUGCUUCAGUGGUGAGGCAGCGGACAUUGAAGCUGAUGGUGUUGAGGCUCGUAGAGGAACUAAUGCUUUCCGUGCCAUGGUACACACUGGAUGAGGCAGUCACCAGCAACAGAUGACGUCAUUCCCAAUCUCUGCAGCACCUGGUAAGAAGUGAUAGCCUCUGCCUGCCACACGAGUUACUGCUGGAGAGAAUGCACCAAGUGGCAGUUUGGUGACUCGUCACCUGUGUGUGCCUGGUCCGUCAUAUGUCAUAGUUCUUGCCAAGGCUGAUGUCAGGAAGCCUUUCUCCUAGGCUUCCCUUUAAGGAGCCUUGUAGAGUCCUUAGCACCUUUGCUGGAGAUCAGUCAGUUCAAUCCUACACUUAUGGGGUUAUUUCCUGGGCUUUCCAAUCUGGUCUAUUCACGUCGGUGUGGCUUUUGUACCAUCCUGUCUGCUUUACACAGUUGCAGCUCGAGACCAGCAGGAAGUGUGUUGCCUUUGGCCCUGAUGCCCUCUUGUGAUUGCUUGGGCCAUUUAAUCUCCGUGGUCGUCGCACAUAAACUGCAGGAUUGAUUUUUUAUGUUUCUGUAUUUACAAUGUUUUAGUAGACAUCCUUCCUAUAAUCUUGGGAUUAGACUUUGAUUUUCCUCAGUUCUGUGUGCGUGUAUACUUCACGAAGAUGACUCGGAUCCCUUCCGGAAAGGGCUACGGUCUAAGCAUAUGAAUGUGAGUUAUGAAGUUCUAAUAGGAUACUCCUAAGGAGCAUUUGGCUGCUUUGGUUCCCCUUCUAGGUUAAAAACAAAGUUAGUCAUCUUCACUAUACUGGUUUUGAAUUUCAUUGAAUCUGCAGGGUGGUAGCUACUUAGCACGUCACUGGACGCUGAUGAUUUGUGCUAUAUUGAACUGUGAGUUCUUUGAGGGGCAGUAAUUAUUUAAAACCUUAGUCAAUCACUGUGUGGUGAGAAUGAACUAAACAUGUGGAUCUUACUAUAAGAGGUGUUAAGCACAGAUGGUUCUGAGGAAUCCUGACAGCACACCAGUGAAUGUCUAUUCCUGCAGGUACCAGGCUCGGGAACAGGUACAAAGUGGCCAGUAUGGGAGCUGUCAGCAGCUGGACAGCUUUUGAGGCACAAUGGAGAAUGGAAUGUGAAAAGAAGGAGGCUUGAGUUUCUCCAGCUUUUAUCUCUCGUGUCUCUGCACCAACUACCAUCACAAGGGCUUCCUGUCAGUGGAUUAGCACAUUUAAAACAAAGGCCACUUGUCAGUGUGCAGAAGUCCAACAACUUUCAGCUGGCCUUUCUGUUGUAGUAAUAUACUUGAAAGUCAAGCGAAGGAGGGAAGACUUCUCCGAGCUUGUAGCUCAGGCUGUGGUCCCUUGGCCCCAUCACUGUGGACUUGGGUUAAGGCAGAACAUCAGAGUGGACAGGGCGUGGUGAGGUAAAUAGACACAGUCAUCACACAGCAGCCAGGCACAGAACAGGAAACACAAGGCUCAAGAACAAGACACUCCUUAAGGAGAUGUCUCAAUGGUCUCCUUCUUCAAACCAUGUCCUGUGCUUUUGAGUGACCCCCUUCAGGUAUGAGCACCAUGGUGAACUACUCCAUUAAUGAGGUUAGAACUUUUAUCAUCCAAUCACCUCUCCAAGUUAAUUGCUUUUUACCACUGGUGCCUUACCACCCUUUACUAGGGUGGGGGUGGGGGUCCCCACAAACCUGGAAAGUCAAUGUAACUCUAUCAGGGGGUUCAUGGACCUCGUCUCAACUGAUCCUCCAAAAAUUCUGUCAAGUGAGUUGCGUGUUGGCAGGGCUGAGGUUUUAACUCAGAUCCCCAUCCCCCAAAGUCUUCAUUCCAUUGGAAUCAUUCUUUCCGACUUUAUACCAUUUCAUGAGGAGUUGGUCUGCUUAGAAAAACAGAGUUUGAGGAUGUUUUUAACUGCAGAGAUGGAAAGAAUUUAGAUGAAUAAUCCUGUAACAUUUUUUCACGUGAAACCACUACGAAUGUUUUAUUCUCCAGGCUGAGAAGGAAACGUCUCUUGGGUGAUAGUGCCAGGUACCUGCUUAGGCUGAUCUCUCUGCAUCCUGAACUUCCCUCCUUCCUUUGGACAUUGUGUUUACUCUUUUCGAAUGUUUUCUGUCUUCCAGAUUGAAAUGUGUGUGUCCAGUACAGCUUUCCAGCAGUAAACGCCAUGCAUGAUUUGCUCAGCCCAUCUCAAUCAUCUGAACAAUGGGUGUGUGCUUCUGGUUCGAGGUCACAGCAAAGCUAUUGAUCAUGGCCAGUCCCAAACUCAGUGGGCUCCUUUCCGUCCUCCCAUCCUCAGUUGUCCUGGGGCACCAGACAAGGCAGAUUACACGAAGCCUCUGAGAAAACAGCACAGACAAUAAUUCCACCUCAAAACCUAAUCUGAUGCACGGACGGUCAGUCUGCUGAACGAACUUUCCCACCAUGAAUGUAAGUUGAUUUUGUUUCUUUAUUUUUCCCCCCAAAGGUUCUGACCUACUAAGUGUCCUUAAUGUGGCUCACACCUUUAAGGAAGCAAGAGGCUCACUCAUUUGGAUAGUCCCAACCUGCUCCUUUUGCAUUCUGACAUAGCUGAUGAGUCCCGUAAAUGACAUUUCCUCAGAAUAUGGGUCAAUAAACAUUUAUUGAGUACUUCCUGGGGGCCAGGGCCUGGUUACAUGGAUAAUAUUUACAGAUAGCAGGAAAAGUCAUGGAAGAUAUUCAAGAAAAUUGUAGUCUGCAUCUGGAGAGGAGGAGGGGAGACAGAGAGACAGAUAUAUUAACAAGUCAUAAAUAAGUAACUAGAUAAGUGCUAAACAUUGAGGACAAAGUACUAGGUUAGGUUCAAACUCCACUGGGCAGGAAAUAGCUCACUGGGAGAUGAGGAAAGCUUGCAUAUGAGGCUUUCGAAGUAGGGCUUAAAGAUGGGUCAGAGUUUAAUAGGUGGUCAGCAUUCACAGAGCCUAGGGAAGAACACGAGAUCAGAGCCAUCAGCAGAAUAAGGAACGUGUCUGAGUGGAUUGAUAGACUUAACUUUUGACUGGACCCUUUGUGUCUCCAUAAAGAAUGUAGUUUGCUGUGUCCUGCAUUCCUGCAAGCCUCUGCGUCCUGUUUUUUGGUUUUUUGUUUUUUGUUUUGUCUUGGCUUCACUAUUUGGUCAAGUCUUCAUCCCCAUCUUUCACACCUUGGCCUUAUGGGAGAUUCAGGAAAGAGCUGGAGAGGGCCAGCUGUUUCUUGCUGUCUCAAAGCACUUUCUCCAAGGCACACGUUAAUGCGGCUUCUGUGUCCUCAUUGCACAGCCUUGGGAAGAAGGUGGUAGGGAUGGACCCACUGGAGAGGAAGCCUUUGGUUUUUAAAAGCCAUCUAGACUGGCAGUUGUUCAGCCUUGCCUCAACUACAAAGUCAGUGAACGUCCUGCAACAUACGCUCGGGUGUGGACGUCGGGUUCCUAAUAGAAACUGGAACUUGUAUCACAUAGCAGCUGGUGGUGACAUCACACAGGGCCUUCCUCUGAGGACGGCAUCACACAGGGCCGCCUUCUGACAAGCUCCCUUUCUAGGGCAGUACCAAAAGCAGGUUCACUUCUCCUGAGGACAAUUUAGGGGAUGCAUGGCUAUUCUAAAAUCUGCAGCUGUCUGUUACAGAGAUGUGUGCGUAGUGGGGGCAUGACUGUAGAUGUUCCUAACACAAAUGUCUCCUGAAGACAAGAAUUCCUAAACUGUAACUCCAAAAACCGAUGGUGUUUGAAUGAAAUGUUCCUAUGUCUCUUUACUAUUUAGCCGCUGUGAUUUCACUGGCAGGACACGGAACAGAAAUGGUAGUCUAGUUAUCGUUUUGAUUUCCUAGGCUUUCAUCUCGGUAAAAACAAGAAAUAGGGCCUCCAGGGAUGACUCAACGUUUAAGAGCACAGACUGCUCUUGUGGAAGACCUGGGUUCAGUUUCUAACAUCUACAUAGCAGUUGACAACCACCUGUAACUCCAGUGCCAGGGGAUUGGACACCUUCUUCUGAAUCCACACACCAAGCACUCAGUGUGGCACCCAUGUAUUCGUGCACACAAAUAGGCAAAAUGUUCAUCUGUAUAAAAUAAAAAACAUUCAA
This 4522-nucleotide small RNA is filed under the name Rattus norvegicus (Norway rat). Its description in RNAcentral is "uncharacterized LOC102555144". The record is from RNAcentral. Lineage: Eukaryota; Metazoa; Chordata; Mammalia; Rodentia; Muridae.